RNAcentral lists this ribosomal RNA (351 nucleotides) under proteobacterium 2J43. Its description in RNAcentral is "bacterial SSU rRNA". It matches the Rfam family "Bacterial small subunit ribosomal RNA", at positions 51 to 387 of the family's 1533-position model. Lineage: Bacteria; Pseudomonadati; Pseudomonadota; Gammaproteobacteria. The record is from RNAcentral.
ACACAUGCAAGUCGAGCGGCAGCGACAAGAUUGAAUCUUUGGGGGAUUUGUUGGGCGGCGAGGGGUGGACGGGUGAGUAAUGACUAGGAAAUUGCCCUGAUGUGGGGGAUAACCAUUGGAAACGAUGGUUAAUACCGCAUGAUGCCUUCGGGCCAAAGAGGGGGACCUUCGGGCUCUCUCGAGUCAUGAUAUGCCUAGGUGGGAUUAGGUAGUUGGUGAGGUAAGGGCUCACCAAGGCGACGAUUCCUAGCUGGUCUGAGAGGAUGAUCAGCCAUACUGGAACUGAGACACGGUCCAUACUACUACGGGAGGCAGCAGUGGGGAAUAUUGCACAAUGGGCGCAAGGAUGAA